RNAcentral lists this ribosomal RNA (468 nucleotides) under uncultured bacterium. RNAcentral describes it as "partial 16S ribosomal RNA". It matches the Rfam family "Bacterial small subunit ribosomal RNA", at positions 28 to 507 of the family's 1533-position model. The record is from RNAcentral.
GACGAACGCUGGCGGCGUGCUUAACACAUGCAAGUCGAACGGAAAGGCCCUGCUUUUGUGGGGUGCUCGAGUGGCGAAAGGGUGAGUAACACGUGAGUAACCUGCCCUUGACUUUGGGAUAACUUCAGGAAACUGGGGCUAAUACCGGAUAGGAGCUCCUGCUGCAUGGUGGGGGCUGGAAAGUUUCGGCGGUUGGGGAUGGACUCGCGGCUUAUCAGCUUGUUGGUGGGGUAGUGGCUUACCAAGGCUUUGACGGGUAGCCGGCCUGAGAGGGUGACCGGCCACAUUGGGACUGAGAUACGGCCCAGACUCCUACGGGAGGCAGCAGUGGGGAAUAUUGCACAAUGGGCGGAAGCCUGAUGCAGCAACGCCGCGUGCGGGAUGACGGCCUUCGGGUUGUAAACCGCUUUCGCCUGUGACGAAGCGUGAGUGACGGUAAUGGGUAAAGAAGCACCGGCUAACUACGUG